UGGGGAAUCUUCCGCAAUGGGCGCAAGCCUGACGGAGCAACGCCGCGUGAGUGAAGAAGGUCUUCGGAUCGUAAAGCUCUGUUGAUGGGGACGAACGUGCCUAAUGCGAAUAGUAUUAGGUAAUGACGGUACCCAUCGAGGAAGCCACGGCUAACUACGUGCCAGCAGCCGCGGUAAUACGUAGGUGGCGAGCGUUGUCCGGAAUCAUUGGGCGUAAAGGGAGCGCAGGCGGGCAUGUAAGUCUUUCUUAAAAGUGCGGGGCUCAACCCCGUGAUGGGAAAGAAACUAUGUGUCUUGUGUACAGGAGAGGAAAGCGGAAUUCCCAGUGUAGCGGUGAAAUGCGUAGAUAUUGGGAGGAACACCAGUGGCGAAGGCGGCUUUCUGGACUGCAACUGACGCUGAGGCUCGAAAGCCAGGGGAGCGAACGGG
RNAcentral lists this ribosomal RNA (429 nucleotides) under bacterium. RNAcentral's name for it is "partial 16S ribosomal RNA". It matches the Rfam family "Bacterial small subunit ribosomal RNA", at positions 355 to 776 of the family's 1533-position model. The record is from RNAcentral.